CGUCAGGGGCUAUGGAUCGUUGACAUACGAACCCCGCCAGGGCAGGAAUGCAGCAACGGUAGUAUGCUCUUCGUUGCCGUAGUCCUCUGACGGCC
RNAcentral lists this signal recognition particle RNA (95 nucleotides) under Verrucomicrobiota bacterium. RNAcentral's name for it is "Verrucomicrobia bacterium (rhizosphere metagenome) signal recognition particle sRNA small type". It matches the Rfam family "Bacterial small signal recognition particle RNA". From Rfam's summary of the family: The signal recognition particle (SRP) is a universally conserved ribonucleoprotein involved in the co-translational targeting of proteins to membranes. Archaeal SRP consists of a 7S RNA and homologues of the eukaryotic SRP19 and SRP54 proteins. In most bacteria, the SRP consists of a 4.5S RNA and the Ffh protein (a homologue of the eukaryotic SRP54 protein). The record is from RNAcentral. Lineage: Bacteria; Pseudomonadati; Verrucomicrobiota.